AGUGAACGCUGGCGGUAGGCCUAACACAUGCAAGUCGAACGGCAGCACAGGAGAGCUUGCUCUCUGGGUGGCGAGUGGCGGACGGGUGAGGAAUACAUCGGGAUCUACUCUGUCGUGGGGGAUAACGUAGGGAAACUUACGCUAAUACCGCAUACGACCUACGGGUGAAAGCAGGGGACCCUCGGGCCUUGCGCGAUUGAAUGAGCCGAUGUCGGAUUAGCUAGUUGGCGGGGUAAAGGCCCACCAAGGCGACGAUCCGUAGCUGGUCUGAGAGGAUGCUCAGCCACACUGGAACUGAGACACGGUCCAGACUCCUACGGGAGGCAGCAGUGGGGAAUAUUGGACAAUGGGCGCAAGCCUGAUCCGGCCAUACCGCGUGGGUGAAGAAGGCCUUCGGGUUGUAAAGCCCUUUUGUUGGGAAAGAAAUCCAGCUGGCUAAUACCCGGUUGGGAUGACGGUACCCAAAGAAUAAGCACCGGCUAACUUCGUGCCAGCAGCCGCCGUAA
RNAcentral lists this ribosomal RNA (506 nucleotides) under uncultured bacterium. Its description in RNAcentral is "partial 16S ribosomal RNA". It matches the Rfam family "Bacterial small subunit ribosomal RNA", at positions 29 to 523 of the family's 1533-position model. The record is from RNAcentral.